Mauremys reevesii (Reeves's turtle) is the source of this 1698-nucleotide long non-coding RNA. RefSeq lists it as uncharacterized. The transcript is spliced from 2 exons. NCBI's taxonomy places the organism in Eukaryota, Metazoa, Chordata, Testudines, Geoemydidae. The record is from RefSeq and is a predicted model, not a curated record.
UGCCUUGCACACCAGACCAGAAGUUUAUUGAACAGUGUCUGUCGGGCCACACAUGCAUCAUGUGCCCCUUGUGAUCCCAUAGAAGGGCAUAAUGGGUGGGACAGAUGUGACCCUUUCUUGAUUCCCUCUUACUGCCUGUGGCAGCAAAACAGAACCUGAAGCGUGUCCGACUUGCUGGUUCUUAGAAUGCCCAAGAUGUGAGGCUGAAAGGCUGUCUUCUGGAGCAAUCCAUGAAGGGCUCCUCAGACCCUGAGGAAACAAGCCCCAAAAUCCUACUAGUGGACAAGCCAGCAUCAUCCAGUGCCUUGUGGAGGAAACAGGUAAUGCUUCAGAACUGCAUGGGGAAGACUUUACCAAGGAAAAGAUCUGGCGCCAACACCCUGGCACCGAAGCCAUAUAUCAGUGUUGAAGGUGGCACUGCUUCAGCAAAGUUGGGCAACGACUGGGCCACUCUGAACACCAAAGCUGAAGAAGGAUCACUAUGUCACUUGCAUAAAGAUAGACCCAGCAAAGCCUUCAGAGAAAAGUCACGAGGGCCCACAAUGCGUUAAGAGCUGAGGAAGAAGACGCAGCCUAUGAUGCAGCAGACUUCAUUGGCGCCAGUCCCAUCUUCAAUUAUGCCUUUAGCACCGACCCCCAAGCUCAGGGGUGACACUAGGGUAGAAUCAGAUCCACUGUUGGUACUGAGGUGCUUACCGGCAAUGGUACGGACUCUGGUACCCACAGGACCUUCACAUCAGUGCUGCCCAUAGAAAAGGUUUACUCUUCCUUACCAUCAUUGGUAUAUGCAUUCUCCGCAACAUCAAGCAGAGAACCCUCUCUCCUGAAGACUGACACUACCAAAGACCUACAAGCUUCUACAGACUUUUGUCUCCACUGACCUGUCAGUGCUUGCACUGGAUUGGCCAUUACCCAGAAAAAUGAGCAUCCUCCUGUGGCAUGGGGAUGUUGCCCUUUUGGGGAUACUGGGAUCCACUACUGCAGGCACUCAGAAGCAUAUCUGCAUCAUCGAGGAAAAGGAAGAGAGAUGUCUCCCUGGGAGCAACGCUGGUCAGGCCACCAACGCCUAAAUACCAGGAAGAGCCAGAUCCAGAGGCAGAACAACAUCAAUGCCACGUUUCACCACCAAAAUCUCUUUCCUCUUUGGUGCUGGUUGAGGUGAUAGCCUCGACACUUGGCCCCAAUGGACACCCUAGUUUAAAAAAAACCUAAACUCUCCAGUCUCGGGUGCAUGAGAUAAUGCACAUCUCUAGUGAGACCCACACCGACUACAACAUCUCAAAAGAACCACAGUGACUGUAGAGGAAGUAACUGUUUUUUAUAAUUUCAGGUAGGAUGAGGAGCAGGCUCAGGUGAACUUUGCAUGAAACUUGGACUUUUUGUUGUGAAAAUAUCCUCUGGUAAUUUACAAAUCUAACAAGUUCAAUACAAAUGAGGAAAUCAGACAUUUGGGCAGACUUAUUUCCAAACAGAUAUUUUUUCCCAAAGAUUUCCACAAGACAUGGUUGGUUCACUCUGCUCUAGCUGAAUCUGAACCUAUUCUAGGUUCUGAAUCUGAACCUAUUCUGCAAAACAGCAACAUCAGAACUUUGCAGUUUUUUUUCUAAAGAGGCCCUUUUAGACCAGCGGUAGGAUAUUAAUACAAUUAGAUUCCAAACCGUGGAAUUGUAUUCUGUCUGCCUAAAAUUCUCACUGCCA